AACGAACGCUGGCGGCAUGCCUAACACAUGCAAGUCGAACGAUGCCUUCGGGUCUAGUUGCGCACGGGUGCGUAACGCGUGGGAACCUGCCCUUAGGUUCGGAAUAACUCCCCGAAAGGGGUGCUAAUACCGGAUAAUGUCUUCGGACCAAAGAUUUAUCGCCUUUGGAUGGGCCCGCGUUGGAUUAGCUAGUUGGUAGGGUAAAAGCCUACCAAGGCGACGAUCCAUAGCUGGUCUGAGAGGAUGAUCAGCCACACUGGGACUGAGACACGGCCCAGACUCCUACGGGAGGCAGCAGUGGGGAAUAUUGGACAAUGGGCGAAAGCCUGAUCCAGCAAUGCCGCGUGAGUGAUGAAGGCCUUAGGGUUGUAAAGCUCUUUUACCCGGGAUGAUAAUGACAGUACCGGGAGAAUAAGCUCCGGCUAACUCCGUG
Molecule: ribosomal RNA, 433 nt
Filed under: uncultured bacterium
Lineage: Bacteria
Description: partial 16S ribosomal RNA
Rfam family: Bacterial small subunit ribosomal RNA
Source: RNAcentral